GAGACCAGGUGUUUUGUUCCGCUGCUCCAAGCCAGAGAAGGUAGGGAGGCGAGCCCACAGCGGAGGCUGGCAGCUGUCCAGCAUGCCUGCACCUCGCAAGGAAAGCUGCCCGACUGUGGGGUGAAAUACUCACAUGCCCACGUGGCUUGCAGAGAAGGAGACCUCAUUCUCCAACAGCUUCCUCAGUAAAUUGGAAGAUUCAAUAUUGUUACAAUGCUAAUACUCCCCAAAGAAAUCUACAGGUUCAUUGCAAUCCCAAUCAAAAUCCCAAUGACAUCUUUGGCAGAAAUAGGAAAAUACAUCCUAAAAUCCAUAUGGAAUCUCAAGAGACUGUGAAUAGCCAAAACAAUCUUGAAAAAGAAGAACAAAGUUGAAGGAUUCACAUUUCCUGAUUUCACAAUUUACUAUAAAUCAAAACAGUGUGGUACCGGCAUAAAGACAGACACAUCAACCAGUGGAAUAGAAUAAAGAUCGCAGAAACAAACCCAUAUGGGGUC
Molecule: long non-coding RNA, 497 nt
Filed under: Equus caballus (horse)
Lineage: Eukaryota; Metazoa; Chordata; Mammalia; Perissodactyla; Equidae
Description: lncRNA (ENSECAG00000057298.1)
Source: RNAcentral